CGCAUCUGUGCAUGCAGCAUAUCAAUAAGCGGAGGAAAAGAAACUAACAAGGAUUCCCCUAGUAACGGCGAGUGAAGCGGGAAGAGCUCAAAUUUGAAAUCUUAAAGGGUUUCCCUUUACGAAUUGUAGUUUAAAGAAGUGUUUUCUGUUGAGGUUUUGGUAAAAGUUCUUUGGAAUAGGACAUCAUAGAGGGUGAGAAUCCCGUAUUUGACCUUUACUUUCAACUUUGUGAUACACUUUCAAAGAGUCGGAUUGUUUGGGAAUGCAGUCCAAAAUGGGUGGUAAAUUUCAUCUAAAGCUAAAUAUUGGCGAGAGACCGAUAGCGAACAAGUACCGUGAGGGAAAGAUGAAAAGAACUUUGAAAAGAGAGUUAAACAGUACGUGAAAUUGUCAAGAGGGAAGCGUUUGACACCAGUGUUGUUUUUCUGAAAAUCAAUUAAAGAACUGUUUAUGCUAAGUUGUUUAGACUUUAUCAGCUAACUGUUUAGUUUUGAGCUUUUCUUUAAUGCACUUUUCAGUUAACAAGUCAACAUCAAUCUCUUUUGCUGUAAAAAAGCUUGAGGAAGGUGGCUUGAGAUUCGUCUUAAGUGUUUAUAGCCUCUUGCCUAUGCAGUCGGAGAGAUUGAGGUCUGCAGCGUAGAUCCUUCGGGGCUAAAUGCAUUUGUGCUAAGUUAUAGCAUUUUAUAGACAACUUGUUGACUAUGAUUUGUCUUGUAGCUUACUCGCUUAUGUUAUUUUACCUACGCUUAGGAUGUUGAACGCGCACAGAGUCUC
This 774-nucleotide ribosomal RNA is filed under the name uncultured Neocallimastigales. RNAcentral's name for it is "partial large subunit ribosomal RNA". It matches the Rfam family "Eukaryotic large subunit ribosomal RNA", at positions 26 to 614 of the family's 3401-position model. Lineage: Eukaryota; Fungi; Neocallimastigomycota; Neocallimastigomycetes; Neocallimastigales. The record is from RNAcentral.